GCGUGGGGGGCACACAGGAUUUGAUAUCCCGUUAGUCCACCCCGUAAACGAUGAAUGUUAUCCGUCAGGCAGCAUAAUGUUCGGUGGUGCAGCUAACGCCUCAAACAACCUGCCUGGGGAGUACGGUCGCAAGAUUAAAACUCAACGGAAUUGACGGGCGCCCGCACAACCGGUGGAGCAUCUGGUUUAAUUCGAAGCAACGAGCAGAACCUCACCAGCUCUUGACAUUCGGGGUAUGGGCAUUGGAGACGAUGUCCUUCAGUUAGGCUGGCCCCAGAACAGGUGCUGCAUGGCUGUCGUCAGCUCCUGUCGUGAGAUGUUGGGUUAAGUCCCGCAACGAGCGCAACCCUCGCCCUUAGUUGCCAGCAUUUAGUUGGGCACUCUAAGGGGACUGCCGGUGAUAAGCCGAGAGGAAGGUGGGGAUGACGUCAAGUCCUCAUGGCCCUUACGGGCUGGGCUACACACGUGCUACAAUGGUGGUGACAGUGGGCAGCGAGACAGCGAUGUCGAGCUAAUCUCCAAAAGCCAUCUCAGUUCGGAUUGCACUCUGCAACUCGAGUGCAUGAAGUUGGAAUCGCUAGUAAUCGCAGAUCAGCAUGCUGCGGUGAAUACGUUCCCGGGCCUUGUACACACCGCCCGUCACACCAUGGGAGUUGGUUUUACC
Molecule: ribosomal RNA, 664 nt
Filed under: Agrobacterium tumefaciens
Lineage: Bacteria; Pseudomonadati; Pseudomonadota; Alphaproteobacteria; Hyphomicrobiales; Rhizobiaceae
Description: bacterial SSU rRNA
Rfam family: Bacterial small subunit ribosomal RNA
Source: RNAcentral